Molecule: ribosomal RNA, 497 nt
Filed under: uncultured bacterium
Lineage: Bacteria
Description: partial 16S ribosomal RNA
Rfam family: Bacterial small subunit ribosomal RNA
Source: RNAcentral
GACGAACGCUGGCGGCGUGCCUAAUACAUGCAAGUUGAGCGCUGAAGGUUGGUACUUGUACCAACUGGAUGAGCAGCGAACGGGUGAGUAACGCGUGGGGAAUCUGCCUUUGAGCGGGGGACAACAUUUGGAAACGAAUGCUAAUACCGCAUAAAAACUUUAAACACAAGUUUUAAGUUUGAAAGAUGCAAUUGCAUCACUCAAAGAUGAUCCCGCGUUGUGUUAGCUAGUUGGUGAGGUAAAGGCUCACCAAGGCGAUGAUACAUAGCCGACCUGAGAGGGUGAUCGGCCACAUGGGGACUGAGACACGGCCCAAACUCCUACGGGAGGCAGCAGUAGGGAAUCUUCGGCAAUGGACGAAAGUCUGACCGAGCAACGCCGCGGGAGUGAAGAAGGGUUUCGGAUCGGAAAAAUCUGUUGGUAGAGAAGAACGUUGGUGAGAGUGGAAAGCUCAUCAAGUGACGGUAACUACCCAGAAAGGGACGGCUAACUACGUG